Molecule: ribosomal RNA, 1398 nt
Filed under: Micrococcus sp. MOLA 49
Lineage: Bacteria; Bacillati; Actinomycetota; Actinomycetes; Micrococcales; Micrococcaceae
Description: bacterial SSU rRNA
Rfam family: Bacterial small subunit ribosomal RNA
Source: RNAcentral
AUGCAAGUCGAACGAUGAAGCCCAGCUUGCUGGGUGGAUUAGUGGCGAACGGGUGAGUAACACGUGAGUAACCUGCCCUUAACUCUGGGAUAAGCCUGGGAAACUAGGUCUAAUACCGGAUAGGAGCGCCUACCGCAUGGUGGGUGUUGGAAAGAUUUAUCGGUUUUGGAUGGACUCGCGGCCUAUCAGCUUGUUGGUGAGGUAAUGGCUCACCAAGGCGACGACGGGUAGCCGGCCUGAGAGGGUGACCGGCCACACUGGGACUGAGACACGGCCCAGACUCCUACGGGAGGCAGCAGUGGGGAAUAUUGCACAAUGGGCGAAAGCCUGAUGCAGCGACGCCGCGUGAGGGAUGACGGCCUUCGGGUUGUAAACCUCUUUCAGUAGGGAAGAAGCGAAAGUGACGGUACCUGCAGAAGAAGCACCGGCUAACUACGUGCCAGCAGCCGCGGUAAUACGUAGGGUGCGAGCGUUAUCCGGAAUUAUUGGGCGUAAAGAGCUCGUAGGCGGUUUGUCGCGUCUGUCGUGAAAGUCCGGGGCUUAACCCCGGAUCUGCGGUGGGUACGGGCAGACUAGAGUGCAGUAGGGGAGACUGGAAUUCCUGGUGUAGCGGUGGAAUGCGCAGAUAUCAGGAGGAACACCGAUGGCGAAGGCAGGUCUCUGGGCUGUAACUGACGCUGAGGAGCGAAAGCAUGGGGAGCGAACAGGUAUUAGAUACCCUGGUAGUCCAUGCCGUAAACGUUGGGCACUAGGUGUGGGGACCAUUCCACGGUUUCCGCGCCGCAGCUAACGCAUUAAGUGCCCCGCCUGGGGAGUACGGCCGCAAGGCUAAAACUCAAAGGAAUUGACGGGGGCCCGCACAAGCGGCGGAGCAUGCGGAUUAAUUCGAUGCAACGCGAAGAACCUUACCAAGGCUUGACAUGUUCUCGAUCGCCGUAGAGAUACGGUUUCCCCUUUGGGGCGGGUUCACAGGUGGUGCAUGGUUGUCGUCAGCUCGUGUCGUGAGAUGUUGGGUUAAGUCCCGCAACGAGCGCAACCCUCGUUCCAUGUUGCCAGCACGUAAUGGUGGGGACUCAUGGGAGACUGCCGGGGUCAACUCGGAGGAAGGUGAGGACGACGUCAAAUCAUCAUGCCCCUUAUGUCUUGGGCUUCACGCAUGCUACAAUGGCCGGUACAAUGGGUUGCGAUACUGUGAGGUGGAGCUAAUCCCAAAAAGCCGGUCUCAGUUCGGAUUGGGGUCUGCAACUCGACCCCAUGAAGUCGGAGUCGCUAGUAAUCGCAGAUCAGCAACGCUGCGGUGAAUACGUUCCCGGGCCUUGUACACACCGCCCGUCAAGUCACGAAAGUUGGUAACACCCGAAGCCGGUGGCCUAACCCUUGUGGGGGGAGCCGUCGAAG